AACAAAUCUGAAUUAAAUUCUAACACAUGAUUAAAUCUGAACUAAAACUUCCCAAGAAUUUUCGAUAAAUGAAACAAAUCUCAAACGAAAUCACAGCAAAAUCCCCACAAAUCACGAACAAGGAAACUGCAAACAAAUCGAUUUAAUCAGAAACAACCAUCCUGCAAAAUUAGGGCAAAAUUCUCCCCCUAUUUCUUCUGGAACAGCUUGCUUUUGUUGUACUUGAGUUUCACCCAAUUGACGCCGACGGUGGUCCCUCCUUCACUUUCUUCGCCGCCACCUUCGUCCUUCUCCGAACCCCACCGCCGCCACUAACUUUGGUUUUCUCGAAGCCUGUGGUGGUCACUUCCGCCGCCACCACAUCCAGCGGCACGACGAUUUUCCCCAGCAAUCGGCCGGAGCUGACUCCACAGGUAGCGCCGCGGCGGCCGGAGUAGACCGAAAUUUUGAGCUGCGGCCUCUUGGAGGUGGAGAAGAGAGAGGAUUUGCCGGUGAGCCUGUCGAAAUCGGGUUUGGUGAGUUGGCGGUGGCCGUGCUGAGGCGGCGGCGUGGUGAAGGACGGAGUUGGCGGUGGUGGCCGUGGGAGCAUGCGGCGGCGGCGUGGUGAAGGGAAUGAUCGAGAGAAAGAGAGAGAAGAGAGAGGGCGUGUGGGUAGAGAGAGAGAGAAAUGAGAUAAUGAAAGAAAAUUAUGGUUUGCCCAUUUAUAUAGAAGGGUAAUUUAGUCCAUUCAACAAAAAAGUGGGUAAAAUUUUAAGUUUUAAUUUGAGUGGGUAAAAUUUAUUUUUGUUAUAAGAAAGUGGGUACUUUGAUAUAUUAGCACUAUUAUAUAUGUGUGUGUGAUUAAAGUGGAGAUACUAAUUCUAAUUCAUGUCUUAAUGAUACGCAUAAGGGCAAUCAUAAUUUAUUAGUACUUAGAUAUUUAAAAAAUAAUUUGUUCUUAUUCAUAUUGUAUCAUUUUAUACACAAUUUAUAUAGCUUACCAUCUUUCUAUUAUAUAAUGGGAUACAUCUAAGAGACUCCACAAUAAUUCUCUGUCCUACGUGGCCUUCUCUCAUGUCUGUAUUUCGUUUUGUCUAAAUUCUACCUUUCUCCUUCGACAAAAACUCACGCUUUUCAUAGCAAUCAAUAUGCAAAUGCCCUAAUUUGGUAUUUUCUCUGCAUCGCUUGAUUUCACCAGGCGGACACAUAAUUUCACCAGGCGGACACAUGAUUUGGGUGGCUAGAAUAGAUCAUGUGUCCGGCCAGUAAAAUUAUGUGUCCGCCCGAACGGACACAUGAUCUAGCCACCCACCGGUCAUAUGUACUCUCGACUGAUAGCUGUCAAAUCGUUAACUUUUAUGACUGAUAGCUGCCAAAUCGAUCAAAUGUGUAAGACUUUCACAGAAAACCAAGAAACCCAUCAACAGCAAAUGGUAAAAUAGGUACUUCACAUAAUUAGAGCAUAAAAUGCUUAAGUUUAUAAAAUAGGGCAUUUUUCAUAUACAACAUAAGGAAUAUGACAUUUUUGCUUAUUAACACUUUAUUUUAUGUGCUUCAUUGUAUAACUUGGUUGGCCCAUAUGACGAGUUACAUAUAUUAUGUGCUUGACUUGAGCAGGCCGAGCAGUUCAUGGCCCAUACGUAAUGCGUGGUUUACAUACCACACACACUAAUAUUCCAACACCCCGAUUUUGUUUGUUCACAAAAUGCUCCAAUCAACUCUAUAAAAUUUCCCCAGCUGAAUCCACUUUUUUUUGGGUAAAUACCACUUUAAACCCCAAACUAUUUUCGCACUAUUAAUUAUAUUCUGAAUUAUUGAAAAUAAUUUUUAAAACUUUGAACUAUCAAUUUUGUAUCAAUUGUACCAUUCGUUCAUCUUUUUAACUUCAAAAAUUUGACGUGACUCACCGGAUACUACAAUGUAUUUAGAAUCAUUCUUUUUUUGACCUAUAUUAUAUAAAACGACGUGAUUAUAUGCAUUACUUAUUAAAAAUUCAAAGGAUGAAAAAUGGAUAAAGAGUACAAUUGAUACAAAAUUGAUAGUUCAAGGUUUAAAAAAUUAUUUUCAAUAGUUCUGAAUAUAAUUGAUAGUGUGAAAAUAGUUUGGGGUUUAAAGUGAUAUUUACUUUUUUUUUUUUUUUUUAGAAAUAAUUUUCUUCACUAACCAUACCAUCACUUGUAUUCCCCUCGAAACGAAGUGAAUAGCUUUCAACUGAUGAGACUGCAGCCAUAUUUGUUUCUCAAUAAACUACAAUGUGGAUGCUAGUAAAAUUAUUAAUGAUGGCAUCAAUUAUUUUUCUGGUAGCCAAAGUGCCAAACGACAAUUAAUCGUGAGCACCAUGCUUUUAUCAUGUCUAUCUAUCUCAAGCAGGUUUCGCUAUGCUCCAAAUCUAAUUAAACAUCUGCAUUAUUAUUGUCUUCUUCUUGUCUCAUUUUUAAUCAAAGACUAGUAUAGUAUAUCUUUGUUGCAUUUCUACUACUACUACUACUAUAUUUUAUCUCAAAGAUUCUUGGUUGAGAUCCAAGUCUCCCCUAACUGAAUUCUUUAUAUUCAUUCUAAGCUUGUUAAUUGCCUCCUUUCUCCAUUAUGCAUGUGCUUUCUUGUUUUGAAUUUGGCUGACCAAGUCAUGAUUAACACACACAUUCGCUUCAAAUAUCUGCUUUCUCCCUUCUUAUCCAAAUCUCAUUGAUUUCGGUCUUUUUCUUUUUAUUUCACUCAUUCCUCCAUCCACCGAUUCUUAAACCAUAAAUUUUAAAAAUUUAAUUGAGUGAGGUUAUGACUGAGAUUUACAGUUUUAUAGAUUAAUACAAUAUCAUUAAGCAACAAUGCUCGGUACUUUUGUCAGUUUCUUGUUUAAGUAUUGUUUUAACUUCUAAGUAGGAUGAAUUGAUUGUAAAUUCAUCAAUAAUUAAUUAAUUUUGAAUUUUUUUCCUACUUUAAAAAAUUAUGGUAUACAUACAUAAACCGAAACUAAUGUGACUAAAAUUAAAUUUGAAGUGGUAAGCUUAUUACUCAAACAAUGUCGUUUUUUUCAAAAACCAAAUUGACCUUUCUAAUAGUUUGUGGUAUCAAACACUACUAAACAAGAAAAUUUAUGCAUAAGAUGAGACAUAUAUUCGAAAUGUGGCAUGGCAUUGAAGAAAGCAGUAGACAAGAAGUUUAUGCAGUUACAAAAACACUAAGCAUUGCUUCUCACAGAUCACAUCUUAAGAGGAAGAACCUCGACUUGAUCAAGAACAGGCCCACACAGACUUCCAUAGUCUUGAACCUUUGUAUGGUAGAACGAGCUGAAGAAAGUCAACCUGGUCCGAUCCGACGCCGCCGUGAAUCUGAAGCUGAACCCUUCAAACUUGCCCUUCCCUUGAGAUUUAAAGGGAGCCUUCAUGGUGGCAUUGGCUGCAAACGCCUCGAUCAUCAUGGAUCCGUGGCACCCGUUCUUGGCAUCCCCCACCGCGAACUUGAGGCUGUAGGCUUUGUUGGGGACGGUUCUGAUGACUUGAGCUAUGGCGCUCUCUCUCCCGGCUACGAGCUCCACAGCAGAUUUGCCCGAGGGGACGUUGAAAUGGUUGGAGUCUAUGAACUUGACGGCCUUGAGGGACUCGAUGAUCCACCCCGGGAGGGGCGAGGUGGAGUCCUCCUGCUUCGGAGGGAGGAGCACGCCGUGGGAGGAGUUCAACAGGAUAUGAGGGCCCUCCUCGAAUCCACCAUUCUUCACCAGGUUAGCUGAGACAGAUCAAGACAGAUUCAGCUCUUCUACCAUUACUACUUCAUGUUGCAAAUACAAAGUUAGAAACUAGAAUGAAUGAGUUUGGAUAACUCUCUCCCCACUUUUAAGGCCCAAAACUCUGAUAAUAUUAAAAAGAUGAAAAUGAAAAUGAUAUCUAUUCAUCUUGAAAGAUAAAAUAUACUCCUCUGUUCUGGCUCAAACAUAGAAUAAGGUAUCCCACUGAUAAAGACUCAAAACUUUAUUUAUGUCUUAAAAUCCAGCUUUUAGUAUCAAACUUUCCUUUUUUGGUCCCACAUUUUGGUAUCCAUUUCUAUUUUUGGUAGAAGUAGAUGGGGCCCUUACUCCACUUUAAUUAUUUUAACUCUCACAUAAAAUAUGGGACCCUUAUUCCACUCACAACACAUCAAUCACUUUAUUAAAAAUUGUGCCGUUCUCAACUGGAUACCAACAGCUGGGACGGAGGGAGUACAAUUUAAACAACACUUUCUUAGUAUGCACAUCCAUACUCAGUGGAACUGAGGGAGUAAAAAAUACUCACCUUUUAUAAAAUACUACAUGAAUUAUAUUCAUUAAAGACUUCUUUUUUACCCUUUUAUUGAAGGUUAAGUCUACAUGAAAUACUAAUGUAUUUUCUACGAAUGCUCAAGUAACUUGCAGAGAUAGAACAGAGCAGUUGCAUUUUUCACUAAUGCCAGAUUCACAAUAGUCAUGUAACAUGGAAUAGUAAGAUGAAGCUUCAAAUCUAGGAGUAAUUUUUAUCAUUUCAAGGUAAAAAUAGGUAACUUUUAUGGUUGUUUUAAUCAAUUAAAAAGAUAUUUAUGGGUGAUGUGGACCUUUAGUGGCGGUGGGGAGGGUGAGCUCCUUGAUGGCGACGGCGUCGAGGAGGGGGCCGCAGGCGGGAUCUUCCUGCAUCCCAGGGUUGUGGAAGACGACCUUGACGGAGCUGGAGGUGGCGCGGAACCCCCAGGCGUAGGUGUCGCCGCCGUUGCUGCUGUAGAGCGUCUGGAGGGGGAGAUCGCCGGACUGCGGCGGCACAGACACGCGCAGCACCUCGUUCUGCGCGCAGGUCCGCGACGCGCCAAACGUGAGCGCGUAGAGGGAGCCGUUCCGGACGGGGAUGGGCUGGGAGACGGAGGCCUCGUUGCCGAGGCGCACCGCGUGGACGCCGUGCGCCACCGCGAAGUACAUCCCCCC
Molecule: long non-coding RNA, 4900 nt
Filed under: Salvia miltiorrhiza (redroot sage)
Lineage: Eukaryota; Viridiplantae; Streptophyta; Magnoliopsida; Lamiales; Lamiaceae
Description: long non-coding RNA (SMIL_LNC007590)
Source: RNAcentral